AUACGGAGGAUCCGAGCGUUAUCCGGAUUUAUUGGGUUUAAAGGGUGCGCAGGCGGGAGAUUAAGUCGGCGGUGAAAUUUUGCAGCUCAACUGUAAAAAUGCCUUUGAAACUGGUUUCCUUGAGUGUAGAUGAUGUAGGGGGAAUUUCGGGGUUAGCGGUGAAAUGCAUAGAUAUCAAGAGGAACUCCGAUUGCGCAGGCAGCUUACUAAACUACUACUGACGCUCAGGCACGAAGGCGUGGGGAUCAAACAGGAUUAGAUACCCUGGUAGUCCACGCAGUAAACGAUGAUUACUAGCUGUUUGCGAUACAAUGUAAGCGGCUGAGCGAAAGCGUUAAGUAAUCCACCUGGGGAGUACGUUCGCAAGAAUGAAACUCAAAUGAAUUGACGGGG
RNAcentral lists this ribosomal RNA (393 nucleotides) under uncultured bacterium. RNAcentral's name for it is "partial 16S ribosomal RNA". It matches the Rfam family "Bacterial small subunit ribosomal RNA", at positions 523 to 918 of the family's 1533-position model. The record is from RNAcentral.